UCCGUAUAACAAUACUCCGAGAACUGAAAGGCUUUUUGAAGUCUUCGGAUGGAUAGAAGAACCCCUGAUGCCGUCGAGCCAAGAAAAGUUUCUAAGUUUAGCUAAUGUUGCCCGUACCGUAAACCGACACAGGUGGGUGGGAUGAGUAUUCUAAGGCGCGUGGAAGAACUCUCUUUAAGGAACUCUGCAAAAUAGCACCGUAUCUUCGGUAUAAGGUGUGGUUAGCUUCGUACUAGGAUUUACUCCGAAAGCGAAGAAACUUACAACAAAGAGUCCCUCCCGACUGUUUACCAAAAACACAGCACUCUGCUAACUCGUAAGAGGAUGUAUAGGGUGUGACGCCUGCCCGGUGCUCGAAGGUUAAUUGAUGGGGUUAGCAUUAGCGAAGCUCUUGAUCGAAGCCCGAGUAAACGGCGGCCGUAACUAUAACGGUCCUAAGGUAGCGAAAUUCCUUGUCGGUUAAAUACCGACCUGCAUGAAUGGCGUAACGAGAUGGGAGCUGUCUCAAAGAGGGAUCCAGUGAAAUUGUAGUGGAGGUGAAAAUUCCUCCUACCCGCGGCAAGACGGAGAGACCCCGUGGACCUUUACUACAGCUUGACACUGCUACUUGGAUAAGAAUGUGCAGGAUAGGUGGGAGGCUUUGAGUAUAUGACGCCAGUUGUAUAUGAGCCAUUGUUGAGAUACCACUCUUUCUUAUUUGGGUAGCUAACCAGCUUGAGUUAUCCUCAAGUGGGACAAUGUCUGGUGGGUAGUUUGACUGGGGCGGUCGCCUCCCAAAUAAUAACGGAGGCUUACAAAGGUUGGCUCAGAACGGUUGGAAAUCGUUCGUAGAGUAUAAAGGUAUAAGCCAGCUUAACUGCAAGACAUACAAGUCAAGCAGAGACGAAAGUCGGUCUUAGUGAUCCGGUGGUUCUGUGUGGAAGGGCCAUCGCUCAAAGGAUAAAAGGUACCCCGGGGAUAACAGGCUGAUCUCCCCCAAGAGCUCACAUCGACGGGGAGGUUUGGCACCUCGAUGUCGGCUCAUCGCAUCCUGGGGCUGGAGCAGGUCCCAAGGGUAUGGCUGUUCGCCAUUUAAAGCGGUACGCGAGCUGGGUUCAGAACGUCGUGAGACAGUUCGGUCCCUAUCUGCCGUGGGCGUAAGAAGAUUGAAGAGAUUUGACCCUAGUACGAGAGGACCGGGUUGAACAAACCACUGGUGUAGCUGUUGUUCUGCCAAGAGCAUCGCAGCGUAGCUAAGUUUGGAAAGGAUAAACGCUGAAAGCAUCUAAGCGUGAAGCCAACUCUAAGAUGAAUCUUCUCUAAGCUCUCUAGAAGACUACUAGUUUGAUAGGCUGGGUGUGUAAUGGAUGAAAGUCCUUUAGCUGACCAGUACUAAUAGAGCGUUUGGCUUAUCUUUAAUAAAGCAU
This 1406-nucleotide ribosomal RNA is filed under the name Campylobacter jejuni. Its description in RNAcentral is "partial 23S ribosomal RNA". It matches the Rfam family "Bacterial large subunit ribosomal RNA", at positions 1533 to 2925 of the family's 2925-position model. Lineage: Bacteria; Pseudomonadati; Campylobacterota; Epsilonproteobacteria; Campylobacterales; Campylobacteraceae. The record is from RNAcentral.